UACGUAGGAUCCAAGCGUUAUCCGGAAUCAUUGGGUUUAAAGGGUCCGUAGGCGGGCUUGUAAGUCAGUGGUGAAAUCUCCCGGCUCAACCGGGAAAUUGCCAUUGAUACUGCUAGUCUUGAAUUAUUGGGAAGUAACUAGAAUAUGUAGUGUAGCGGUGAAAUGCUUAGAGAUUGCAUGGAAUACCAAUUGCGAAGGCAGGUUACUAUCAAUAUAUUGACGCUGAUGGACGAAAGCGUGGGUAGCGAACAGG
RNAcentral lists this ribosomal RNA (253 nucleotides) under uncultured bacterium. RNAcentral describes it as "partial 16S ribosomal RNA". It matches the Rfam family "Bacterial small subunit ribosomal RNA", at positions 524 to 776 of the family's 1533-position model. The record is from RNAcentral.